RNAcentral lists this ribosomal RNA (490 nucleotides) under uncultured bacterium. RNAcentral's name for it is "partial 16S ribosomal RNA". It matches the Rfam family "Bacterial small subunit ribosomal RNA", at positions 30 to 507 of the family's 1533-position model. The record is from RNAcentral.
UGACCGCUGGCGGUAGGCCUAACACAUGCAAGUCGAACGGCAGCACAGUAAGAGCUUGCUCUUACGGGUGGCGAGUGGCGGACGGGUGAGGAAUACAUCGGAAUCUACUUUUUCGUGGGGGAUAACGUAGGGAAACUUACGCUAAUACCGCAUACGACCUACGGGUGAAAGCAGGGGAUCUUCGGACCUUGCGCGAUUGAAAGAGCCGAUGUCGGAUUAGCUAGUUGGCGGGGUAAAGGCCCACCAAGGCGACGAUCCGUAGCUGGUCUGAGAGGAUGAUCAGCCACACUGGAACUGAGACACGGUCCAGACUCCUACGGGAGGCAGCAGUGGGGAAUAUUGGACAAUGGGCGCAAGCCUGAUCCAGCCAUACCGCGUGGGUGAAGAAGGCCUUCGGGUUGUAAAGCCCUUUUGUUGGGAAAGAAAAGCAGCAGGUUAAUACCCCGCUGUUCUGACGGUACCCAAAGAAUAAGCACCGGCUAACUUCGUG